RNAcentral lists this ribosomal RNA (1010 nucleotides) under Lactiplantibacillus plantarum. RNAcentral describes it as "bacterial SSU rRNA". It matches the Rfam family "Bacterial small subunit ribosomal RNA", at positions 242 to 1242 of the family's 1533-position model. Lineage: Bacteria; Bacillati; Bacillota; Bacilli; Lactobacillales; Lactobacillaceae. The record is from RNAcentral.
UAGCCUAGAUGGUGGGGUAACGGCUCACCAUGGCAAUGUAUACGUAGCCGACCUGAGAGGGUAAUCGGCCACAUUGGGACUGAGACACGGCCCAAACUCCUACGGGAGGCAGCAGUAGGGAAUCUUCCACAAUGGACGAAAGUCUGAUGGAGCAACGCCGCGUGAGUGAAGAAGGGUUUCGGCUCGUAAAACUCUGUUGUUAAAGAAGAACAUAUCUGAGAGUAACUGUUCAGGUAUUGACGGUAUUUAACCAGAAAGCCACGGCUAACUACGUGCCAGCAGCCGCGGUAAUACGUAGGUGGCAAGCGUUGUCCGGAUUUAUUGGGCGUAAAGCGAGCGCAGGCGGUUUUUUAAGUCUGAUGUGAAAGCCUUCGGCUCAACCGAAGAAGUGCAUCGGAAACUGGGAAACUUGAGUGCAGAAGAGGACAGUGGAACUCCAUGUGUAGCGGUGAAAUGCGUAGAUAUAUGGAAGAACACCAGUGGCGAAGGCGGCUGUCUGGUCUGUAACUGACGCUGAGGCUCGAAAGUAUGGGUAGCAAACAGGAUUAGAUACCCUGGUAGUCCAUACCGUAAACGAUGAAUGCUAAGUGUUGGAGGGUUUCCGCCCUUCAGUGCUGCAGCUAACGCAUUAAGCAUUCCGCCUGGGGAGUACGGCCGCAAGGCUGAAACUCAAAGGAAUUGACGGGGGCCCGCACAAGCGGUGGAGCAUGUGGUUUAAUUCGAAGCUACGCGAAGAACCUUACCAGGUCUUGACAUACUAUGCAAAUUUAAGAGAUUAGACGUUCCCUUCGGGGACAUGGAUACAGGUGGUGCAUGGUUGUCGUCAGCUCGUGUCGUGAGAUGUUGGGUUAAGUCCCGCAACGAGCGCAACCCUUAUUAUCAGUUGCCAGCAUUAAGUUGGGCACUCUGGUGAGACUGCCGGUGACAAACCGGAGGAAGGUGGGGAUGACGUCAAAUCAUCAUGCCCCUUAUGACCUGGGCUACACACGUGCUCACAAUAGAGAUGGUAC